RNAcentral lists this ribosomal RNA (405 nucleotides) under uncultured prokaryote. Its description in RNAcentral is "bacterial SSU rRNA". It matches the Rfam family "Bacterial small subunit ribosomal RNA", at positions 355 to 774 of the family's 1533-position model. The record is from RNAcentral.
UGGGGAAUAUUGGGCAAUGGGCGAAAGCCUGACCCAGCAACGCCGCGUGAAGGAUGAAGGCUUUCGGGUUGUAAACUUCUUUGAUCAGGGACGAAAAAAAUGACGGUACCUGAAGAACAAGCCACGGCUAACUACGUGCCAGCAGCCGCGGUAAUACGUAGGUGGCAAGCGUUAUCCGGAUUUACUGGGUGUAAAGGGCGUGUAGGCGGGCUGACAAGUCGGAUGUUUAAUUCCCGGGCUUAACUCGGGCGGGUCAUCCGAAACUGUCGGUCUUGAGUACUGGAGAGGAUAGUGGAAUUCCUAGUGUAGCGGUAAAAUGCGUAGAUAUUAGGAGGAACACCGGUGGCGAAGGCGGCUAUCUGGACAGUAACUGACGCUGAGGCGCGAAAGCGUGGGGAGCAAACA